Molecule: non-coding RNA, 146 nt
Organism: Pseudomonas batumici
Lineage: Bacteria; Pseudomonadati; Pseudomonadota; Gammaproteobacteria; Pseudomonadales; Pseudomonadaceae
Source: Rfam
AUUGUAUUGGGGCGUACCGCUGACGUUGUCAGCUCCAUGCCCGUGUAGUUUGGAUCCGGGAAGCUGCGAUGCGCCAUUGCGCCUUAGAUCCUCUCCCCCAGGUCGCAACGUUUCUCCGCGCUCCGUCGGCGCAGAAGCUGACAAGC